AGAGUUUGAUCCUGGCUCAGAAUCAACGCUGGCGGCGUGCCUAACACAUGCAAGUCGAACGAGAAAGGGUAGCAAUACCUGAGUAAAGUGGCGCACGGGUGAGUAACACGUGACUAACCUACCCUGGAGUGGGGGAUAACUGAGGGAAACCUUAGCUAAUACCGCAUAAUACCUACGGGUCAAAGGAGCAAUUCGCUUCAGGAGGGGGUCGCGGCCGAUUAGUUAGUUGGCGGGGUAAUGGCCCACCAAGACAGUGAUCGGUAUCCGGCCUGAGAGGGCGCACGGACACACUGGAACUGAAACACGGUCCAGACUCCUACGGGAGGCAGCAGUGGGGAAUUUUGCGCAAUGGGGGAAACCCUGACGCAGCAACGCCGCGUGGAGGAUGAAGUCCUUCGGGACGUAAACUCCUUUCGAUCGGGACGAUUAUGACGGUACCGGAAGAAGAAGCCCCGGCUAACUUCGUGCCAGCAGCCGCGGUAAUACGAGGGGGGCGAGCGUUGUUCGGAAUUAUUGGGCGUAAAGGGUGCGUAGGCGGUUCGGUAAGUCUUGUGUGAAAUCUUCGGGCUCAACUCGAAGUCUGCACGAGAAACUGCCGGGCUUGAGUGUGGGAGAGGUGAGUGGAAUUUCCGGUGUAGCGGUGAAAUGCGUAGAUAUCGGAAGGAACACCUGUGGCGAAAGCGGCUCACUGGACCACAACUGACGCUGAGGCACGAAAGCUAGGGGAGCAAACAGGAUUAGAUACCCUAGUAGUCC
This 756-nucleotide ribosomal RNA is filed under the name uncultured bacterium. RNAcentral's name for it is "bacterial SSU rRNA". It matches the Rfam family "Bacterial small subunit ribosomal RNA", at positions 8 to 796 of the family's 1533-position model. The record is from RNAcentral.